Long non-coding RNA from Raphanus sativus (radish), 1166 nucleotides. RefSeq lists it as uncharacterized. Lineage: Eukaryota; Viridiplantae; Streptophyta; Magnoliopsida; Brassicales; Brassicaceae. The record is from RefSeq and is a predicted model, not a curated record. The transcript has 5 exons.
AGUCGGCGGGGUCUUCGUCGGCAAGCGAGGUUCCGGUUGAGAAUCAAGGACCUGUUUCGGAUCGUGGAUCGGAAUCUGGAGAGCCGGAGCUAGGAUCCUCUGAUCCGCAAGAUAUGGAUGAAGAGAAGCCUCAACUGAUGUAGUGAUGUGCCUGUGAUGAAGAUCUCUCCUGAAGCCGACACAAACCCUGAAGCUGAUGCCUUGACGACACCUACAAUAGCAGGUGAAGUGGUGUGAGAAGUCGAAGGCGGGGAAGAAGCAAGCUAAGGCUCCAUGGGGAAGCUACUUUCUCAGUAUUCUCAGGUAGGUUAAGUUUCAUCAGUGAUUGUUUUUUUAAUUGGUUUGAUCUAAUAGUCUGUGAAUUGCGGAUUUAGAGUUUAGCAGUGUGCAGUUCGUGUAAUAUUUUUAGUUAAAGUUUGGCCUUUCAGUUCAUGAGGAACUGAGUUUAGUUGUAUGCAUGUCUGGUUCUUUUAUAUUUUUUUCCCACAUACCUCAUAAGUAUGUUGUUAUGUAUGUGUCUCUGUGAUUUUUUGUGGUCUGUAAGUUGGGCAUUGAGGGUUUAGCAUUGUGCAGUUUGUGUAAUAUUUCUUUUGUAAAGGUUUGGUCUUUAUGCUCAACCAGUUUAGUUGACUUCAUGUUUGGUUCUUUUAUAUUUUUCGACAGAACUAUGUUAUUAUGUCUGAGAAUUUUCUACUUCUUAACUAUGAUACUUCUGUUUCUAACUGUCCCAAUGCAUGUUUCUAUGUAAUUUCAUAACUCACACCGUAUCAUGAGGGGCAAUGUAUUCACUGUUGGACGCCGAGGAUGUGAUUUAUCUAUCAAAGACCAAUCUAUGCCCAGCACCCUUUGUGAAAUCAAGCAGUCUGAUCAAAGAGGUCCGUCGGUUGCAACUCUGGAGAUGUUGGUUUAGAAGGAAGCGAUGAGAUUCAUGAAGAAAUCCUUACCUCUGUCACAACCAACCACCAAGGCCAGGAAGUGUGCCUUGAUCACAAAUUCUCAGACGGACAUCUCAAAGUUUGAAGAAAAGAAAUCUUUUAUAUUUACUUCUUCAACGAACAAGGAACUUGGCCCAAUUUUUCAAAAAAUUAUGUAUCUAAGUUUUUCUUAUUUUAACGUCAAGCUCAUUAGGACCCAAUAAGAUAUUGCAUAUAGAUCUUAUAUAUUGA